GAUGAACGCUGGCGGCGUGCCUAAUACAUGCAAGUCGAGCGAACAGACGAUGAUCUUGCUCCUCUUACGUUAUCGGCGGACGUGUGAGUAACACGUGUAUAACCUACCUAUAUUACUGUUAUAUCUUCGUGAAACCGUAUCUUAUACCGUUUAAUAUAUUUAUCCUCAUUGUUCAUUAGUUUAUUUCGGUUUUUCUGUCUCUUAUAGAUGUAUCCGCGCCGCAUUAGCUAGUUGGUAAGGUAACGGCUUACCAAGGCAACGAUGCGUAUCCGACAUGAGAGGGUGAGAGGCAAAACUGGAACAGAGACACGGAACAGACUACUACGGGAGGCAGCAGUAGGGAAUAUUCCGCAAAGGGCGAAAGCAUGACGGAGCAAAGGCGCGUGAGUGAUGAAGGUCUUCGGAUCGUAAAACUCUGUUAUUAGGGAAGAAAAAAUGUGUAAGUAAAUAUGCACGUAUUGACGGUAACUAAUAAGAAAGCAACGGCUAACUACGUG
RNAcentral lists this ribosomal RNA (497 nucleotides) under uncultured bacterium. RNAcentral's name for it is "partial 16S ribosomal RNA". It matches the Rfam family "Bacterial small subunit ribosomal RNA", at positions 28 to 507 of the family's 1533-position model. The record is from RNAcentral.